UACGUAGGGUGCGAGCGUUGUCCGGAAUUAUUUGGGCGUAAAGAGCUUGUAGGCGGUUUUGUCGCGUCUGCUGUGAAAAUCCGGGGCUCAACCCCGGACUUGCAGUGGGUACGGGCAGACUAGAGUGUGGUAGGGGGAGACUGGAAUUCCUGGUGUAGCGGUGGAAUGCGCAGAUAUCAGGAGGAACACCGAUGGCGAAGGCAGGUCUCUGGGCCACUACUGACGCUGAGAAGCGAAAGCAUGGGGGAGCGAACAGG
This 257-nucleotide ribosomal RNA is filed under the name uncultured bacterium. RNAcentral's name for it is "partial 16S ribosomal RNA". It matches the Rfam family "Bacterial small subunit ribosomal RNA", at positions 524 to 776 of the family's 1533-position model. The record is from RNAcentral.